CUGGUUGUGUGUUAUGUUCCUAGUUUAGUUUCUGUAUUGACUUGUGCCAGCAAUAAAGCUGAGUUUUUUGAGUUCACGUUUUGCCUCUGAAAGUCUGCAUUUGGGUCCUAUCUGCCUGCUCCACACACAGUUCAUGACAAACACUCCAGAUUCUUUGGGUGAUGACUGGUAGAACAUCUUCGGCCGCUAUUUUUUGAGUUGACUGGAAGGAAAGGCGUGACCUCAAAGAUAGGAACUCCACCACCAGCUCAGCAAAAUCGCCUAGCAACCCAGGUAUGCUUUUACUGUUUGGGAUCAUUGUCAUGAAAAAUGAAGAUGCUGCCCAAUCAGAUGCUUCACAUGUGGUAUUGCAUGGCUCCGCUUGCUGCUCCCGCAGCUGCCACACAUCACUUCAGGAAUCUGAUGAACUGUACCAACCUCAGAUUAACCUCCAGCCCCGUCUUUCUUUUUCUGCAAUCCCAGACCGUCACUGGAGAUCUCUGCCUUGAUACACUCUACAGCCAGAGGUCUACAAUUCCUUGGAUUUAAAGGCUUUGUUUGUGCUCUGACAUGCACUGUCAACUAUGGGACCUUUAAUAGACUGGUUUGUGCCUUUCCAAAUCAUGUCUAACCAACUUCAGCACAGGUGGAGUCCAAUCAAGUUGUAAAACAUCUCUCAGAUGAUUGGUGGAAACAGGAUGUACCUGAGUCAUGGAAAAGGCA
This is a long non-coding RNA of Oreochromis aureus, 702 nucleotides long. RefSeq lists it as uncharacterized. The record is from RefSeq and is a predicted model, not a curated record. NCBI's taxonomy places the organism in Eukaryota, Metazoa, Chordata, Actinopteri, Cichliformes, Cichlidae. The transcript has 4 exons.